AACCCCUGUGAACAUACCUAUACGUUGCCUCGGCGGAUCAGCCCGCGCCCCGUAAAACGGGACGGCCCGCCCGAGGACCCCUAAACUCUGUUUUUAGUGGAACUUCUGAGUAAAACAAACAAAUAAAUCAAAACUUUCAACAACGGAUCUCUUGGUUCUGGCAUCGAUGAAGAACGCAGCAAAAUGCGAUAAGUAAUGUGAAUUGCAGAAUUCAGUGAAUCAUCGAAUCUUUGAACGCACAUUGCGCCCGCCAGUAUUCUGGCGGGCAUGCCUGUUCGAGCGUCAUUUCAACCCUCAAGCUCAGCUUGGUGUUGGGACUCGCGGUAACCCGCGUUCCCCAAAUCGAUUGGCGGUCACGUCGAGCUUCCAUAGCGUAGUAAUCAUACACCUCGUUACUGGUAAUCGUCGCGGCCACGCCGUAAAACCCCAACUUCUGAAUGUUGACCUCGGAUCAGGUAGGAAUACCGCUGAACUUAA
The sequence is a ribosomal RNA, 477 nucleotides long. The stretch from base 132 to 285 matches the Rfam family "5.8S ribosomal RNA".